GACGAACGCUGGCGGCGUGCCUAAUACAUGCAAGUAGAACGCUGAAGAGAGGAGCUUGCUCUUCUUGGAUGAGUUGCGAACGGGUGAGUAACGCGUAGGUAACCUGCCUUGUAGCGGGGGAUAACUAUUGGAAACGAUAGCUAAUACCGCAUAACAAUGGAUGACACAUGUCAUUUAUUUGAAAGGGGCAAUUGCUCCACUACAAGAUGGACCUGCGUUGUAUUAGCUAGUAGGUGAGGUAAUGGCUCACCUAGGCGACGAUACAUAGCCGACCUGAGAGGGUGAUCGGCCACACUGGGACUGAGACACGGCCCAGACUCCUACGGGAGGCAGCAGUAGGGAAUCUUCGGCAAUGGGGGCAACCCUGACCGAGCAACGCCGCGUGAGUGAAGAAGGUUUUCGGAUCGUAAAGCUCUGUUGUAAGUCAAGAACGGGUGUGAGAGUGGAAAGUUCACACUGUGACGGUAGCUUACCAGAAAGGGACGGCUAACUACGUGCCAGCAGCCGCGGUAAUACGUAGGUCCCGAGCGUUGUCCGGAUUUAUUGGGCGUAAAGCGAGCGCAGGCGGUUUGAUAAGUCUGAAGUUAAAGGCUGUGGCUCAACCAUAGUUCGCUUUGGAAACUGUCAAACUUGAGUGCAGAAGGGGAGAGUGGAAUUCCAUGUGUAGCGGUGAAAUGCGUAGAUAUAUGGAGGAACACCGGUGGCGGAAGCGGCUCUCUGGUCUGUAACUGACGCUGAGGCUCGAAAGCGUGGGGAGCGAACAGGAUUAGAUACCCUGGUAGUCCACGCCGUAAACGAUGAGUGCUAGGUGUUGGAUCCUUUCCGGGAUUCAGUGCCGCAGCUAACGCAUUAAGCACUCCGCCUGGGGAGUACGACCGCAAGGUUGAAACUCAAAGGAAUUGACGGGGGCCCGCACAAGCGGUGGAGCAUGUGGUUUAAUUCGAAGCAACGCGAAGAACCUUACCAGGUCUUGACAUCCCGAUGCUAUUUCUAGAGAUAGAAAGUUACUUCGGUACAUCGGUGACAGGUGGUGCAUGGUUGUCGUCAGCUCGUGUCGUGAGAUGUUGGGUUAAGUCCCGCAACGAGCGCAACCCCUAUUGUUAGUUGCCAUCAUUCAGUUGGGCACUCUAGCGAGACUGCCGGUAAUAAACCGGAGGAAGGUGGGGAUGACGUCAAAUCAUCAUGCCCCUUAUGACGUGGGCUACACACGUGCUACAAUGGUUGGUACAACGAGUUGCGAGUCGGUGACGGCGAGCUAAUCUCUUAAAGCCAAUCUCAGUUCGGAUUGUAGGCUGCAACUCGCCUACAUGAAGUCGGAAUCGCUAGUAAUCGCGGAUCAGCACGCCGCGGUGAAUACGUUCCCGGGCCU
RNAcentral lists this ribosomal RNA (1369 nucleotides) under uncultured bacterium. RNAcentral's name for it is "bacterial SSU rRNA". It matches the Rfam family "Bacterial small subunit ribosomal RNA", at positions 28 to 1381 of the family's 1533-position model. The record is from RNAcentral.